GAUGAAGAACGUAGCGAAAUGCGAUAAGUAAUGUGAAUUGCAGAAUUCAGUGAAUCAUCGAAUCUUUGAACGCACAUUGCGCCCCCUGGUAUUCCGGGGGGCAUGCCUGUUCGAGCGUCAUUUCACCACUCAAGCCUCGCUUGGUAUUGGGCAACGCGGUCCGCCGCGUGCCUCAAAUCGACCGGCUGGGUCUUCUGUCCCCUAAGCGUUGUGGAAACUAUUCGCUAAAGGGUGUUCGGGAGGCUACGCCGUAAAACAACCCCAUUUCUAAGGUUGACCUCGCAUCAGGUAGGGAUACCCGCUGAACUUAAGCAUAUCAAUAAGCGGAGGA
RNAcentral lists this unclassified non-coding RNA (331 nucleotides) under soil metagenome. RNAcentral's name for it is "partial contains 5.8S ribosomal RNA, internal transcribed spacer 2, and large subunit ribosomal RNA". The stretch from base 1 to 120 matches the Rfam family "5.8S ribosomal RNA", at positions 35 to 154 of the family's 154-position model. The record is from RNAcentral.